This 483-nucleotide ribosomal RNA is filed under the name uncultured bacterium. RNAcentral describes it as "partial 16S ribosomal RNA". It matches the Rfam family "Bacterial small subunit ribosomal RNA", at positions 28 to 507 of the family's 1533-position model. The record is from RNAcentral.
GACGAACGCUGGCGGCGUGCUUAACACAUGCAAGUCGAACGCUGAAGCUCAGCUUUUGUUGGGUGGAUGAGUGGCGAACGGGUGAGUAACACGUGAGUAACCUGCCCCCUUCUUUGGGAUAACGCCCGGAAACGGGUGCUAAUACUGGAUAUUCACUGGUCUUCGCAUGGGGGUUGGUGGAAAGGGUUUUUCUGGUGGGGGAUGGGCUCGCGGCCUAUCAGCUUGUUGGUGGGGUGAUGGCCUACCAAGGCUUCGACGGGUAGCCGGCCUGAGAGGGUGACCGGUCACAUUGGGACUGAGAUACGGCCCAGACUCCUACGGGAGGCAGCAGUGGGGAAUAUUGCACAAUGGGCGCAAGCCUGAUGCAGCGACGCCGCGUGAGGGAUGGAGGCCGUCGGGUUGUGAACCUCUUUCGCUCAUGGUCAAGCCGCAACAAUGGUUGUGGUGAGGGUAGUGGGUAAAGAAGCGCCGGCUAACUACGUG